RNAcentral lists this ribosomal RNA (517 nucleotides) under uncultured Staphylococcus sp. Its description in RNAcentral is "bacterial SSU rRNA". It matches the Rfam family "Bacterial small subunit ribosomal RNA", at positions 8 to 507 of the family's 1533-position model. The record is from RNAcentral. Lineage: Bacteria; Bacillati; Bacillota; Bacilli; Caryophanales; Staphylococcaceae.
AGAGUUUGAUCCUGGCUCAGGAUGAACGCUGGCGGCGUGCCUAAUACAUGCAAGUCGAGCGAACAGAUAAGGAGCUUGCUCCUUUGAAGUUAGCGGCGGACGGGUGAGUAACACGUGGGUAACCUACCUAUAAGACUGGGAUAACUUCGGGAAACCGGAGCUAAUACCGGAUAACAUUUAGAACCGCAUGGUUCUAAAGUGAAAGAUGGUUUUGCUAUCACUUAUAGAUGGACCCGCGCCGUAUUAGCUAGUUGGUAAGGUAACGGCUUACCAAGGCGACGAUACGUAGCCGACCUGAGAGGGUGAUCGGCCACACUGGAACUGAGACACGGUCCAGACUCCUACGGGAGGCAGCAGUAGGGAAUCUUCCGCAAUGGGCGAAAGCCUGACGGAGCAACGCCGCGUGAGUGAUGAAGGGUUUCGGCUCGUAAAACUCUGUUAUUAGGGAAGAACAGAUGUGUAAGUAACUGUGCACAUCUUGACGGUACCUAAUCAGAAAGCCACGGCUAACUACGUG